Molecule: ribosomal RNA, 412 nt
Filed under: uncultured Atopobium sp.
Lineage: Bacteria; Bacillati; Actinomycetota; Coriobacteriia; Coriobacteriales; Atopobiaceae
Description: partial 16S ribosomal RNA
Rfam family: Bacterial small subunit ribosomal RNA
Source: RNAcentral
UACGCGAAGAACCAUACCAGGGCUUGACAUGUANGUGAAGCGGCGGANACAUNGUGGCCGAAANGAACAUACACAGGUGGCGCAUGGCUGUNNUCAGCUCGUGUCGUGAGAUGNUAGUUUANGUCNUGCAACGAGCGCNACCCUCGUCCUAUAUUUCCAGCGUUUCGCCCGGNCACNUAUAGGAGACCGCUGGACUCAAUCCGGAGGAAGGUGGGGAAGAUNUCANGUNAUCAUGCCCUAUAUGUCGUGGGAUACACACGUGACACUAUGCCCGGCACAAUGANCUGCCAACCCGCAAGGGCGAGGGUAUCUUUAAACCCGUUCCCAGUUCGGAUUGGAGGUUCCAAUCGGCNUCCAUGAAGUGGGAUUUGUUAUUAUUCCCGGAUCAGCAAGCAGCNGUGNAUGGUUUCCA